GGUGAACGCUGGCGGCGUGCCUAAUACAUGCAAGUCGAGCGAGCGGAACCAACAGAUUUACUUCGGUAAUGACGUUGGGAAAGCGAGCGGCGGAUGGGUGAGUAACACGUGGGGAACCUGCCCCUAAGUCUGGGAUACCAUUUGGAAACAGGUGCUAAUACCGCAUAUUUCUAAUCGUCUCCUGACGAACGGAAGAAAGGUGGCUUCGGCUACCGCUUAUGGAUGGACCCGCGGCGUAUUAGCUAGUUGGUGAGGUAAUGGCUCACCAAGGCGAUGAUACGUAGCCGACCUGAGAGGGUGAUCGGCCACACUGGGACUGAGACACGGCCUAG
RNAcentral lists this ribosomal RNA (332 nucleotides) under uncultured bacterium. RNAcentral describes it as "bacterial SSU rRNA". It matches the Rfam family "Bacterial small subunit ribosomal RNA", at positions 28 to 334 of the family's 1533-position model. The record is from RNAcentral.